Molecule: long non-coding RNA, 104 nt
Organism: Alosa sapidissima (American shad)
Lineage: Eukaryota; Metazoa; Chordata; Actinopteri; Clupeiformes; Clupeidae
Exons: 3
Source: RefSeq, a predicted model, not a curated record
CUAAUUAAGAAAACAUUCAAGAACCCUCUUGCAAUUAUGCAAGCACAUAAUGUAAUCUGAAAACUGCUGCCCUGAUUAAAAAAAAAACAAUGCAACCGAUUUCA